Molecule: long non-coding RNA, 621 nt
Organism: Heteronotia binoei (common prickly gecko)
Lineage: Eukaryota; Metazoa; Chordata; Lepidosauria; Squamata; Gekkonidae
Exons: 2
Source: RefSeq, a predicted model, not a curated record
GCUCCUCUUUCCGGCUCCUUCUCUUGACUCCUCCCCAUUCUUCUAGUCCCUCCCCUUUUUGCCCUUUCAUCUUCACUGUAAAGUCCUGCCCCUUCUGCUUAUCCUAUAGAUUGGGGUCAAGGUGUCCUUGGUUCUUAGGCUUGCCUCACUGGAUUUGUCUGUAUUUGUUUAAAAAUGGCAUAAAAACAUGUGUGUGUGUGUGUGUGUAUCAGUUUAAGUGUAAAUUGGAUACAGCUGUAUGGAAUUAUGUAUGCUGCCUGAGAAUCAGUUGUGUGUUGAGAACCAUUGGUGCAAACUGAAAAGUAACAUUGUAUUGUAAUGUGUGAGCAAUUGCCUUUAGCGCCGGUUCCAAAGCUAAAAAGAAAAGCGGCCAGUGGAAGGUGAAGGAAACACAGAACUGAACCCAGGACCUGUGUAGCUGCCACACCUGUCAGACUUCGGUCUGAUAGGAGGAAUUAUAUACAAGCGUGGUUCUGUCUACGUCUUUCAAGCAAAGGAGAACUGAGACAGUGGACUGUAAAGUACCUCACAAGAGUGAUGUGAAAUAACAUUCUGAUUUUGAAAGUACUACCUUACAAGAGUGGUGUGAAAUAAUUUUUUGAUUUCUCUAUGGACACUUAA